GACGAACGCUGGCGGCGUGCUUAACACAUGCAAGUCGAACGGAAAGGCCCUGCGUGGUACGCGUGUGGGAAACGGGAGAGUGAGAGGUGGGUGUGAGUCCCCUCACUUUGAGAUAAGCAUGGGUUACUGGGACUAAUACUGAUAAGGACCAGGCGCUUCUGGUGGAGGGGGGGGAAGGGAAUGUUUCGGCGGUUGGGGCUGGACCCGCGGCGUAUCAGCUUGUUGGUGGGGUAGUGGAAUACCAAGGCGUGGACGGGUAGCCGGCCUGAGAGGGUGACCGGCCACAUUGGGACUGAGAUACGGCCCAGACUCCUACGGGAGGCAGCAGUGGGGAAUAUUGCACAAUGGGCGCAAGCCUGAUGCAGCAACGCCGCGUGCGGGAUGACGGCCUUCGGGUUGUAAACCUCUUUCGCCUGGGACGAAGCGUGAGUGACGGUAAUUGGUGAAGAAGCACCGGCCAACUACGUG
RNAcentral lists this ribosomal RNA (468 nucleotides) under uncultured bacterium. RNAcentral's name for it is "partial 16S ribosomal RNA". It matches the Rfam family "Bacterial small subunit ribosomal RNA", at positions 28 to 507 of the family's 1533-position model. The record is from RNAcentral.